UGCCUAUUCUCCUAACAUGUAUCCUGGA
Molecule: non-coding RNA, 28 nt
Filed under: Macaca fascicularis (crab-eating macaque)
Lineage: Eukaryota; Metazoa; Chordata; Mammalia; Primates; Cercopithecidae
Also listed under: 1 other name
Source: RNAcentral